This 250-nucleotide ribosomal RNA is filed under the name uncultured bacterium. Its description in RNAcentral is "partial 16S ribosomal RNA". It matches the Rfam family "Bacterial small subunit ribosomal RNA", at positions 809 to 1058 of the family's 1533-position model. The record is from RNAcentral.
AUGAGUGCUAGAUGUAGGGAGCUAUAAGUUCUCUGUAUCGCAGCUAACGCAAUAAGCACUCCGCCUGGGGAGUACGACCGCAAGGUUGAAACUCAAAGGAAUUGACGGGGGCCCGCACAAGCGGUGGAGCAUGUGGUUUAAUUCGAAGCAACGCGAAGAACCUUACCAGGUCUUGACAUACUCGUGCUAUUCCUAGAGAUAGGAAGUUCCUUCGGGACACGGGAUACAGGUGGUGCAUGGCUGUCGUCAG